This 212-nucleotide unclassified non-coding RNA is filed under the name plant metagenome. RNAcentral's name for it is "partial contains small subunit ribosomal RNA, internal transcribed spacer 1, and 5.8S ribosomal RNA". The record is from RNAcentral.
UUUCCGUAGGUGAACCUGCGGAAGGAUCAUUCAUAAUAAGUGUUUUAUGGCACUUUUUUAAAUCCAUAUCCACCUUGUGUGCAAUGUCAGGGUUGAUUUUCUCUCGAGAGGAUCAACCCCAAACAUCAACUAUAUCUCAACUCUUUGUCUGAAAAAUAUUAUGAAUAAAACAAUUCAAAAUACAACUUUCAACAACGGAUCUCUUGGCUCUC